Molecule: RNase P RNA, 417 nt
Filed under: Bacteroides zoogleoformans
Lineage: Bacteria; Pseudomonadati; Bacteroidota; Bacteroidia; Bacteroidales; Bacteroidaceae
Description: Bacterial RNase P class A
Rfam family: Bacterial RNase P class A
About the family: Ribonuclease P (RNase P) is a ubiquitous endoribonuclease, found in archaea, bacteria and eukarya as well as chloroplasts and mitochondria. Its best characterised activity is the generation of mature 5'-ends of tRNAs by cleaving the 5'-leader elements of precursor-tRNAs.
Source: RNAcentral
GCAGUUGGUCGGUCUGCCGCCUGCACCAUGUGCGUGCACGAGGAAAGUCCGGGCAACACAGAGCAUCCCACUUCCUAACAGAAAGCUGUCCGCGAGGGUAGAGUAACGCAGAAGAAAAUAACCGCCGCAGUCUUUGGCUGCGGCAAGGGUGAGAAGGUGAGGUAAGAGCUUACCGGCCUUGUGGCGACACAAGGGCUGUGCGUCUUGGGAGUUGUAAGGUCAUGUAUACCGGCGUUAUGAGGGUUGCUCGCCCCAUGUCGGAGGGUAGACCGCUAAAGCCGUAUGGCGACAUGCGGCUCAGAUAAAUGGCAGGCACUUCUAAAUGGCGAGAAACAAAGGGUCAGGGAUGAAUAAUCCUGACACAGGACUUUCUCUUCGGCAGAAGAACAGAACCCGGCUUACAGACCUACUGCUUUU